AUAUCUGUUAAUUGCUUUACAAUAAAAGGGAUAUUUAACCUGCUCUGAAUCAGAGUGCUUAUUGCCCAUGCUUCCAAGUUGCUACAUCAUAAAAGAAGCUAAGAUUAUAAUACGACGUAGAUAGGUGGUAGUUUUGCUACAUGCACCCCAUUGUGAUAGGGGAUAUGGAGAAGUUAUUAUUAAUACUAAAACAUAGUUCAAACUACUAAACUUGUGAAAUGCCCUGCUAUUGACUGCUUUUUAUAUUUUUUCCAUGCGACUUGCAUACCUGUAUUGGCCAUCACUUCUGGUCAAAACUUCCUUUUAUUUGGUUCCAGUGUUUCUUCCCCUUGAUUCCUUACUUUCCCUGGAUGUUGUUUCUCAUACAGGGCACAACUGAAUGCCAUCAUAUAACGUUUUUGAAAGUCACCAAAUAAGUAACUCACCUUCAGGAUUUUCAACAUUAGAUGCAACAGUUGUUCUAGGCAGUAUAUGUCUGUGGAAUGAUUAGAGGUUUAGAACAUGUUUCAUGGAUAUGAAUUCCAGUGGGACUUGUUUUAAUUGUGACUUGGUAACAAUAUUAGAGCUGUCUUUCUAACAAAUGUUCCACUUCUUUAUUUUUGGUGUACAAAAUAACUAUGGGAGAAAUCAACUUGUAUUUUUUCCUAGUACAGGAGUAGAGCAUGAGCACAAUCCAGCAUGAUGCGAUCUCAGGUGCUAUUGCGUAGCCAAAAUACAAAAUCAGUUGGAGGAAGCGGUUUGAUGUCCAAAAGGCCCAGUGGAGGGGGAGCCAGGAGCCAAGUGGCAAUCUUGCUUUCAAUAAAAUAUUUUUUAUUUUCCUAUAGGUAUGGCUUGGUGUGUUCUCUUACGUUAAUCCUGAAGCUCAUGUGUGUAUCCGUGAAUUUAUCUGAACACAAUCAUGCAUUCAGAAUCAUUAUUUUAAAAAAAAAAAGUUGAGGGAGAUGCAGUAGGUAAUGUGCUAUGAGUUGCUGCAUAUAUAAAUACGCAAGCAUUACUGUACAGAAAGGACUUCAGACCCUUUUUCUUGCACUUGAGUAUGUCUGCUUCACUGCUUUCAGUACAGCUCCACAAUGCAGAACUAUUUUUCUUGUGGUUUGCGUGAGCCCCUCAGAGCAAGUGCCUUGGCAACUGCUGGUGCUAGCUUGGGAGGAUAGAGAAGACUGUUUGUUUCUUCUUGCCCAAUUUACCCACAAAACUAGUUCUCUAGUUCUGCAUGCUAUAAAAAAAUAAUCUUUGUCAAAAAGAUUUUCCCUUCAGAAAUUUUUAAAUGAGAACAGCUGCUUUUUAGAGCAGCUAGAACUGUUAACCAGGACUCCAUUAGAAAAUGGCUUCUAGCUCUUUAAAUCAAUAAAAGGAUAAUCAGUAAUCUUACCGCUUGAGUUUUUUUGUGUAAGUUUAAAUCUAGCUGAGAGAGCUAGUGAGUUCCUUGAAGGAAAAGAGUCACUAGAUAACAGUUGAAUAUUCUUCCAAGACCCAGUAUUAAAUGCAUACUCCUCUACUAACCAGUCAUCUCUAAUUACUGUAAUCUGAGUCUGUAUGACUUGUUAACAAAAUGCAGUUAAGUCAUUCAGUUUGCAUUUACUUUCCUUUGGCUUACUGUGAAUGCUUGGAUUGAUUUAAUUGGGUUCAUGUACACAUGGAAUAACUGAAGGUAUUUCUUGAGAAACCACU
Long non-coding RNA from Gavialis gangeticus (Gharial), 1671 nucleotides. RefSeq lists it as uncharacterized. The transcript is spliced from 2 exons. NCBI's taxonomy places the organism in Eukaryota, Metazoa, Chordata, Crocodylia, Gavialidae. The record is from RefSeq and is a predicted model, not a curated record.